AUUGAACGCUGGCGGCAGGCCUAACACAUGCAAGUCGAGCGGAUGAAGGGAGCUUGCUCCUGGAUUCAGCGGCGGACGGGUGAGUAAUGCCUAGGAAUCUGCCUGGUAGUGGGGGAUAACGUCCGGAAACGGGCGCUAAUACCGCAUACGUCCUGAGGGAGAAAGUGGGGGAUCUUCGGACCUCACGCUAUCAGAUGAGCCUAGGUCGGAUUAGCUAGUUGGUGGGGUAAAGGCCUACCAAGGCGACGAUCCGUAACUGGUCUGAGAGGAUGAUCAGUCACACUGGAACUGAGACACGGUCCAGACUCCUACGGGAGGCAGCAGUGGGGAAUAUUGGACAAUGGGCGAAAGCCUGAUCCAGCCAUGCCGCGUGUGUGAAGAAGGUCUUCGGAUUGUAAAGCACUUUAAGUUGGGAGGAAGGGCAGUAAGUUAAUACCUUGCUGUUUUGACGUUACCAACAGAAUAAGCACCGGCUAACAUCGUG
Molecule: ribosomal RNA, 484 nt
Filed under: uncultured bacterium
Lineage: Bacteria
Description: partial 16S ribosomal RNA
Rfam family: Bacterial small subunit ribosomal RNA
Source: RNAcentral